UAGCUCAGUUGGUUAGAGCGUGGUGCUUAUAACACCAAGGCCGCGGGUUCGAUCCCUGC
This 59-nucleotide transfer RNA is filed under the name Apaloderma vittatum (bar-tailed trogon). It matches the Rfam family "tRNA", at positions 8 to 63 of the family's 71-position model. From Rfam's summary of the family: Transfer RNA (tRNA) molecules are approximately 80 nucleotides in length. Their secondary structure includes four short double-helical elements and three loops (D, anti-codon, and T loops). Further hydrogen bonds mediate the characteristic L-shaped molecular structure. tRNAs have two regions of fundamental functional importance: the anti-codon, which is responsible for specific mRNA codon recognition, and the 3' end, to which the tRNAs corresponding amino acid is attached (by aminoacyl-tRNA synthetases). tRNAs cope with the degeneracy of the genetic code in two manners: having more than one tRNA (with a specific anti-codon) for a particular amino acid; and 'wobble' base-pairing, i.e. permitting non-standard base-pairing at the 3rd anti-codon position. The record is from Rfam by way of RNAcentral. Lineage: Eukaryota; Metazoa; Chordata; Aves; Trogoniformes; Trogonidae.